This 69-nucleotide transfer RNA is filed under the name Ovis aries (sheep). It matches the Rfam family "tRNA". Rfam says of the family: Transfer RNA (tRNA) molecules are approximately 80 nucleotides in length. Lineage: Eukaryota; Metazoa; Chordata; Mammalia; Artiodactyla; Bovidae. The record is from Rfam by way of RNAcentral.
CCUGGUGGCUUAGAUGGUAAAGCGUCUGCCUACAAUGUGGGAGACUCAGGUUCGAUCCCUGGGUCAGGA